CCUACGGGAGGCAGCAGUGGGGAAUAUUGGGCAAUGGGCGCAAGCCUGACCCAGCAAUGCCGCGUGAAGGAAGAAGGCUUUCGGGUUGUAAACUUCUUUGUCAGGGGGAGUGCAGAAAUCGGUACCCUGAAAACAAGAUAUGGCUAACUACGUGCCAGCAGCCGCGGUAAUACGAAGGUGGCCAGCGUUAUCCGGAUUUAGUGGGUGUAACGGGCGUGUAGGCGGGAAGGCAAGUCAGAUGUGAAAUCUGGAGGCUUAACCUUCAAAUUGCAUUUGAAACUGUUUUUCUUGAGUACUGGAGAGGCAGACGGAAUGCGUGGUGUAGCGGUGAAAUGCGUAGAUAUAAGGAAGAACACCGGUGGCGAAGGCAGUCUGCUAGACAGCAACUGACAGUGAGGCGCGAAAGCGUGGGGAUCAAACAGGAUUAGAUACCCGGGUAGUC
Molecule: ribosomal RNA, 442 nt
Filed under: uncultured bacterium
Lineage: Bacteria
Description: partial 16S ribosomal RNA
Rfam family: Bacterial small subunit ribosomal RNA
Source: RNAcentral